GUGGCCGUGGUGAAGUGGUAUCACGUCUGGUUGUGGCCCAGAAGAACGUGGGUUCGAAACCCACCGGUCACC
Molecule: transfer RNA, 72 nt
Filed under: Anaerolinea sp.
Lineage: Bacteria; Bacillati; Chloroflexota; Anaerolineae; Anaerolineales; Anaerolineaceae
Also listed under: 1 other name
Description: tRNA-His
Rfam family: tRNA
About the family: Transfer RNA (tRNA) molecules are approximately 80 nucleotides in length.
Source: RNAcentral